UGGGGAAUAUUGCACAAUGGGGGAAACCCUGAUGCAGCGACGCCGCGUGAACGAAGAAGGUAUUCGUAUCGUAAAGUUCUGUCCUAUGGGAAGAUAAUGACAGUACCAUAGAAGAAAGCUCCGGCUAAAUACGUGCCAGCAGCCGCGGUAAUACGUAUGGAGCGAGCGUUGUCCGGAAUUAUUGGGCGUAAAGGGUACGCAGGCGGUUUAAUAGGUCGAAUGUUAAAGAUCGGGGCUCAACCCCGCAAAGCAUUGGAAACUGAUAAACUUGAGUAGUGGAGAGUAAAGUGGAAUUCCUAGUGUAGUGGUGAAAUACGUAGAUAUUAGGAGGAAUACCAGUAGCGAAGGCGACUUUCUGGACACAAACUGACGCUGAGGUACGAAAGCGUGGGGAGCAAACAGG
Molecule: ribosomal RNA, 403 nt
Filed under: bacterium
Lineage: Bacteria
Description: partial 16S ribosomal RNA
Rfam family: Bacterial small subunit ribosomal RNA
Source: RNAcentral